GACGAACGCUGGCGGCGUGCUUAACACAUGCAAGUCGAACGGAAAGGCCCUGCUUUUGUGGGGUGCGCGAGUGGCGAACGGGUGAGUAACACGUGAGUAACCUGCCCUUGACUUUGGGAUAACUUCAGGAAACUGGGGCUAAUACCGGAUAGGAGCUCCUGCUGCAUGGGGGGGGCUGGAAAGUUUCGGCGGUUGGGGAUGGACUCGCGGCUUAUCAGCUUGUUGGUGGGGUAGUGGCUUACCAAGGCUUUGACGGGUAGCCGGCCUGAGAGGGUGGCCGGCCACAUUGGGACUGGGAUACGGCCCAGACUCCUACGGGAGGCAACAGUGGGGAAUAUUGCACAGUGGGCGGAAGCCUGAUGCAGCAACGCCGCGUGCGGGAUGACGGCCUUCGGGUUGUAAACCGCUUUCGCCUGUGACGAGGCGUGAGUGACGGUAAUGGGUAAAGAAGCACCGGCUAACUACGUG
Molecule: ribosomal RNA, 468 nt
Filed under: uncultured bacterium
Lineage: Bacteria
Description: partial 16S ribosomal RNA
Rfam family: Bacterial small subunit ribosomal RNA
Source: RNAcentral